This is a long non-coding RNA of Ictalurus furcatus (blue catfish), 647 nucleotides long. RefSeq lists it as uncharacterized. Lineage: Eukaryota; Metazoa; Chordata; Actinopteri; Siluriformes; Ictaluridae. The record is from RefSeq and is a predicted model, not a curated record. The transcript has 2 exons.
CACACACACACACACACACUCUCACUCUCUCUCUCUCUCUCUGUGUCACCGCAGCUGUACCACGAGACGAACAGAAGACUUCCAGCUUGUGCAGGUGAACGCACGCACAGUUGAAAGGUGUGUUAACUCUUUGGUGCCGUGAGCAUCGCCUGCGAGUUUCAGCAUGGUCAGGUUCACUCAUGUCCUCUUUUUCUCUUUACAGCAUGAAGGGAUUUGAUGUUACACACACGAAUGAAACACUGAGAGAAUCUGUAGAGUCUCAGCUUUCAGACGAUCUCACAUGUGGAGAACAUGAACAUUUUAUAUAAUCUCUAAAUUGUAGAGAAGUUGCAGUUUGUUCCUGUGGUGAAAAGUGAAAGUAAUGUGAAACGUGGUCUCCUCCUCCUGUUCACAUAUUAAUGACAUGUUAAUGUCUUUCAGGAGCAGGACAGGUAAAUCAGGUAAAUCAGGACGGGUACAUGCUGAUGGAGGAACACAGGCAGACUUUUGCACAGGAACCUUCUGGUGUGUUACAGUAAUUCUGGUAAAUUGUGUACUGACUUAUGAUUGUGCACUAAAUCCCUACAAUACAUGUUCCUUUUAUUCUGAUGUUAAAUUGCUGAAAUAAGUGUGUGUGAGAAUGACCUACAAUAAAGUGAUGAAAUGUG